This 122-nucleotide ribosomal RNA is filed under the name Paraclostridium bifermentans. Its description in RNAcentral is "partial 16S ribosomal RNA". It matches the Rfam family "Bacterial small subunit ribosomal RNA", at positions 1421 to 1533 of the family's 1533-position model. Lineage: Bacteria; Bacillati; Bacillota; Clostridia; Peptostreptococcales; Peptostreptococcaceae. The record is from RNAcentral.
CCGAAGCCGGUUAGCUAACCUUUUAGGAAGCGGCCGUCGAAGGUGAAACCAAUGACUGGGGUGAAGUCGUAACAAGGUAGCCGUAUCGGAAGGUGCGGCUGGAUCACCUCCUUUCUAAGGAG